RNAcentral lists this ribosomal RNA (294 nucleotides) under uncultured bacterium. RNAcentral describes it as "partial 16S ribosomal RNA". It matches the Rfam family "Bacterial small subunit ribosomal RNA", at positions 775 to 1067 of the family's 1533-position model. The record is from RNAcentral.
GGAUUAGAUACCCUGGUAGUCCACCCCGUAAACGUUGGGAACUAGUUGUGGGGUCCAUUCCACGGAUUCCGUGACGCAGCUAACGCAUUAAGUUCCCCGCCUGGGGAGUACGGCCGCAAGGCUAAAACUCAAAGGAAUUGACGGGGACCCGCACAAGCGGCGGAGCAUGCGGAUUAAUUCGAUGCAACGCGAAGAACCUUACCAAGGCUUGACAUAUACGAGAACGCUGCAGAAAUGUAGAACUCUUUGGACACUCGUAAACAGGUGGUGCAUGGUUGUCGUCAGCUCGUGCCG